Molecule: long non-coding RNA, 983 nt
Organism: Aphis gossypii (cotton aphid)
Lineage: Eukaryota; Metazoa; Arthropoda; Insecta; Hemiptera; Aphididae
Exons: 2
Source: RefSeq, a predicted model, not a curated record
CGACACGCUUCCGACUCGACCGCCACUCGUCCACAAGUCCCGUCCAUCACCCGUCAACCGUUCUCCAUCACCCACAAUUAUUCGUCCCUCCGAUCUUAGUCGCGUGUGUACGCUAUCGGCGUGCGUACGCACGCGUGCGCUAUCACAGUGCCAGAGGGGGCGUCGCCGUCGUCGGUGCUAUAUAAACGGCGAGCGUCUAGCCGAAAUCAAGCAUUAACACUCGACGGAUGCACCCACGCGGAUCACUGCAGCCAUUUCGCAAUCGGCACGGACAACGAAGACGUGUACACGCGACCGACGUAUCUGCCAUAUAUUCACGAACGGACUACAGCUGCGGACGGGAUACACUAUAAUAUACACUUUACGUGUGUACCGCAAGACGACGAUAACGGCAGAGACAACGACCGUGACGUGACGACGAUACAUCGCGUACUUGAGAUGCCAAAAGAAUUGACAAUAUCUUGUUCGCGUGUAUAUCUAUUAUAUAAUCUGUCAAUCGAACAGAAAUUAUUAAAAUAAAAUAGUGUGGUAAAUAUACCGAAACGAAAUGGAUAUUCAGAGUUACUCACUCAAUUUGGAUGUGAUGUUCAAAUUGGCGCCACCACAACCUCCUUGAGUGAGCGACUCGGGGAUCUACAUGCUCGUCGCCGACAUACUCAUGUAGAUUAGGUAUAUUGUUUGUCGGAAUAACAACAUAUAAUAUAAUAUUAUUUUAACAUCGUUUAAACAACGCAGAAUGGAUCAAUUUUUUUUCGUUCGUUUCUUUGUAUAUUCACAAUUUAUUUAUUUAUUAUUGUCAACUGCAGUUACAGUGAGACGAGGUGAUCAAGUUUAAAUAACAAAUGAUUAAAAUAAUAUAAUGUAAUGUAAGUAUAAGUGUACAAUGUGUAUAACAUUCUUUGCACUGUGCUAUGUACUGCCUAAUAAAUACAUUACGUUGAGUAUUAUUACAUGAAUAAUAAACCUACUAUAAUAAUAUAAAA